UAACGUAUCUGGGUCCCCCUUUUAUAGGCGGAGGAAGCAACGGGUUGAUGGCGACGUUUGUAACCGUCUGGCAGUGGACUGCCCAGGGUCAGGCGGAGUUUGCUGCGAAGCGUAGUGGAACGGACACGUGGCUAUCACUGGGGUGUGCCACGUGGAAUCUGCCGCACGAAGUGGGGUGGCGUUUGUCGUCGUGACUUGCCAGUGGAUGGGAGAAUCACGCAGUAUCCAUUGCAGGAGGUGGAGCAGGAUCGUGGCCGUUUAUCGUGGCUGG
This 271-nucleotide long non-coding RNA is filed under the name Elaeis guineensis (African oil palm). Its description in RNAcentral is "long non-coding RNA (EGUI_LNC057390)". The record is from RNAcentral. Lineage: Eukaryota; Viridiplantae; Streptophyta; Magnoliopsida; Arecales; Arecaceae.